GGGUUGUGAGGUUAAGCGACUAAGCGUACACGGUGGAUGCCCUGGCAGUCAGAGGCGAUGAAGGACGUGCUAAUCUGCGAUAAGCGUCGGUAAGGUGAUAUGAACCGUUAUAACCGGCGAUUUCCGAAUGGGGAAACCCAGUGUGAUUCGUCACACUAUCAUUAACUGAAUCCAUAGGUUAAUGAGGCGAACCGGGGGAACUGAAACAUCUAAGUACCCCGAGGAAAAGAAAUCAACCGAGAUUCCCCCAGUAGCGGCGAGCGAACGGGGAGCAGCCCAGAGCCUGAAUCAGUGUGUGUGUUAGUGGAAGCGUCUGGAAAGGCGCGCGAUACAGGGUGACAGCCCCGUACACAAAAAUGCACAUACUGUGAGCUCGAUGAGUAGGGCGGGACACGUGGUAUCCUGUCUGAAUAUGGGGGGACCAUCCUCCAAGGCUAAAUACUCCUGACUGACCGAUAGUGAACCAGUACCGUGAGGGAAAGGCGAAAAGAACCCCGGCGAGGGGAGUGAAAAAGAACCUGAAACCGUGUACGUACAAGCAGUGGGAGCACGCUUAGGCGUGUGACUGCGUACCUUUUGUAUAAUGGGUCAGCGACUUAUAUUCUGUAGCAAGGUUAACCGAAUAGGGGAGCCGAAGGGAAACCGAGUCUUAACUGGGCGUUAAGUUGCAGGGUAUAGACCCGAAACCCGGUGAUCUAGCCAUGGGCAGGUUGAAGGUUGGGUAACACUAACUGGAGGACCGAACCGACUAAUGUUGAAAAAUUAGCGGAUGACUUGUGGCUGGGGGUGAAAGGCCAAUCAAACCGGGAGAUAGCUGGUUCUCCCCGAAAGCUAUUUAGGUAGCGCCUCGUGAAUUCAUCUCCGGGGGUAGAGCACUGUUUCGGCAAGGGGGUCAUCCCGACUUACCAACCCGAUGCAAACUGCGAAUACCGGAGAAUGUUAUCACGGGAGACACACGGCGGGUGCUAACGUCCGUCGUGAAGAGGGAAACAACCCAGACCGCCAGCUAAGGUCCCAAAGUCAUGGUUAAGUGGGAAACGAUGUGGGAAGGCCCAGACAGCCAGGAUGUUGGCUUAGAAGCAGCCAUCAUUUAAAGAAAGCGUAAUAGCUCACUGGUCGAGUCGGCCUGCGCGGAAGAUGUAACGGGGCUAAACCAUGCACCGAAGCUGCGGCAGCGACACUGUGUGUUGUUGGGUAGGGGAGCGUUCUGUAAGCCUGCGAAGGUGUGCUGUGAGGCAUGCUGGAGGUAUCAGAAGUGCGAAUGCUGACAUAAGUAACGAUAAAGCGGGUGAAAAGCCCGCUCGCCGGAAGACCAAGGGUUCCUGUCCAACGUUAAUCGGGGCAGGGUGAGUCGACCCCUAAGGCGAGGCCGAAAGGCGUAGUCGAUGGGAAACAGGUUAAUAUUCCUGUACUUGGUGUUACUGCGAAGGGGGGACGGAGAAGGCUAUGUUGGCCGGGCGACGGUUGUCCCGGUUUAAGCGUGUAGGCUGGUUUUCCAGGCAAAUCCGGAAAAUCAAGGCUGAGGCGUGAUGACGAGGCACUACGGUGCUGAAGCAACAAAUGCCCUGCUUCCAGGAAAAGCCUCUAAGCAUCAGGUAACAUCAAAUCGUACCCCAAACCGACACAGGUGGUCAGGUAGAGAAUACCAAGGCGCUUGAGAGAACUCGGGUGAAGGAACUAGGCAAAAUGGUGCCGUAACUUCGGGAGAAGGCACGCUGAUAUGUAGGUGAAGUCCCUCGCGGAUGGAGCUGAAAUCAGUCGAAGAUACCAGCUGGCUGCAACUGUUUAUUAAAAACACAGCACUGUGCAAACACGAAAGUGGACGUAUACGGUGUGACGCCUGCCCGGUGCCGGAAGGUUAAUUGAUGGGGUCAGCGCAAGCGAAGCUCUUGAUCGAAGCCCCGGUAAACGGCGGCCGUAACUAUAACGGUCCUAAGGUAGCGAAAUUCCUUGUCGGGUAAGUUCCGACCUGCACGAAUGGCGUAAUGAUGGCCAGGCUGUCUCCACCCGAGACUCAGUGAAAUUGAACUCGCUGUGAAGAUGCAGUGUACCCGCGGCAAGACGGAAAGACCCCGUGAACCUUUACUAUAGCUUGACACUGAACAUUGAGCCUUGAUGUGUAGGAUAGGUGGGAGGCUUUGAAGUGUGGACGCCAGUCUGCAUGGAGCCGGCCUUGAAAUACCACCCUUUAAUGUUUGAUGUUCUAACGUUGACCCGUAAUCCGGGUUGCGGACAGUGUCUGGUGGGUAGUUUGACUGGGGCGGUCUCCUCCUAAAGAGUAACGGAGGAGCACGAAGGUUGGCUAAUCCUGGUCGGACAUCAGGAGGUUAGUGCAAUGGCAUAAGCCAGCUUGACUGCGAGCGUGACGGCGCGAGCAGGUGCGAAAGCAGGUCAUAGUGAUCCGGUGGUUCUGAAUGGAAGGGCCAUCGCUCAACGGAUAAAAGGUACUCCGGGGAUAACAGGCUGAUACCGCCCAAGAGUUCAUAUCGACGGCGGUGUUUGGCACCUCGAUGUCGGCUCAUCACAUCCUGGGGCUGAAGUAGGUCCCAAGGGUAUGGCUGUUCGCCAUUUAAAGUGGUACGCGAGCUGGGUUUAGAACGUCGUGAGACAGUUCGGUCCCUAUCUGCCGUGGGCGCUGGAGAACUGAGGGGGGCUGCUCCUAGUACGAGAGGACCGGAGUGGACGCAUCACUGGUGUUCGGGUUGUCAUGCCAAUGGCACUGCCCGGUAGCUAAAUGCGGAAGAGAUAAGUGCUGAAAGCAUCUAAGCACGAAACUUGCCCCGAGAUGAGUUCUCCCUGACUCCUUGAGAGUCCUGAAGGAACGUUGAAGACGACGACGUUGAUAGGCCGGGUGUGUAAGCGCAGCGAUGCGUUGAGCUAACCGGUACUAAUGAACCGUGAGGCUUAACCUUACAACGCCGAAG
RNAcentral lists this ribosomal RNA (2924 nucleotides) under Escherichia coli. RNAcentral's name for it is "bacterial LSU rRNA". It matches the Rfam family "Bacterial large subunit ribosomal RNA". Lineage: Bacteria; Pseudomonadati; Pseudomonadota; Gammaproteobacteria; Enterobacterales; Enterobacteriaceae. The record is from RNAcentral.